UGAUAUUUUCAUGUGGGUUCCCAAAUAG
RNAcentral lists this non-coding RNA (28 nucleotides) under Mus musculus (house mouse). The record is from RNAcentral. Lineage: Eukaryota; Metazoa; Chordata; Mammalia; Rodentia; Muridae.